RNAcentral lists this long non-coding RNA (273 nucleotides) under Gossypium barbadense (sea-island cotton). RNAcentral describes it as "long non-coding RNA (GBAR_LNC008932)". Lineage: Eukaryota; Viridiplantae; Streptophyta; Magnoliopsida; Malvales; Malvaceae. The record is from RNAcentral.
AACCAAUCAACAUUGCGUGGCCAACUUUAUCCUCAACAGCAGUCAGCCGCCAUAGCACCCAGUUUCACAACCCCACCCAUGCCUCCACCCACGGUAUAUAUCAUGGUUGCUUUCAGUCGGCCAAUCUCAUAUUAAGUUGCUCUCUCCAUUCGCCACUGGUUUGGAACACAACCUCGUAAAAAGUCCAUGAUAAUAGAAGAAAACAAAACCACUAAAUGACCAAACAUCACCGAAUUGUUAAUGUCUAUAAAUACUACAGCCCCCAUCUGUCAC